GACGAACGCUGGCGGCGUGCUUAACACAUGCAAGUCGAACGGUGAAGCGCCUUCCUUUUUGGUGGGUGUGGAUGAGUGGCGAACGGGUGAGUAACACGUGAGUAACCUGCCCCCUUCUUCUGGAUAACCGCAUGAAAGUGUGGCUAAUACGGGAUAUUCUGGGUCUGUCGCAUGAUGGGUCUGGGAAAGAUAUUGUUUCGGUGGGGGAUGGGCUCGCGGCCUAUCAGCUUGUUGGUGGGGUGAUGGCCUACCAAGGCGGUGACGGGUAGCCGGCCUGAGAGGGUGGACGGUCACACUGGGACUGAGACACGGCCCAGACUCCUACGGGAGGCAGCAGUGGGGAAUAUUGCACAAUGGGCGCAAGCCUGAUGCAGCGACGCCGCGUGAGGGAUGGAGGCCUUCGGGUUGUGAACCUCUUUCGCCAGUGAAGCAGGCCUGCCUCGUUUGUGGGUGGGUUGACGGUAGCUGAAUAAGAAGCGCCGGCUAACUACGUG
Molecule: ribosomal RNA, 494 nt
Filed under: uncultured bacterium
Lineage: Bacteria
Description: partial 16S ribosomal RNA
Rfam family: Bacterial small subunit ribosomal RNA
Source: RNAcentral